AUAAUACUCCCUCCAUUUCAAAAUUCUUAUCUUAGCUUUGUGUAGUAUUGAAUGUAUCUAAAUAUUAAAACGUGACUAGAUACAUUUAUAUCUCGACAAAACUAAGACAAGAAUUUUGAGACGGAAGAAGUACUAG
Hordeum vulgare subsp. vulgare (domesticated barley) is the source of this 136-nucleotide non-coding RNA. The record is from Rfam. Lineage: Eukaryota; Viridiplantae; Streptophyta; Magnoliopsida; Poales; Poaceae.